Long non-coding RNA from Mastomys coucha (southern multimammate mouse), 650 nucleotides. RefSeq lists it as uncharacterized. The record is from RefSeq and is a predicted model, not a curated record. The transcript is spliced from 4 exons. Lineage: Eukaryota; Metazoa; Chordata; Mammalia; Rodentia; Muridae.
CCUCGUAAAAGUUUCAGAAGCUCCCAAGCACCAUGAUAGGCUGCCAGUCUUCAACACAUGGGCCUUGUUGGGGGAAAUCCAAAUCACAAAAAUCUGUGUGACUGGUAGUCUAAGGCAAUGCGAGUGGGGCAUGGAGUCCUCUAAAUCUUCUCGGUGGCGGAUCUUGUCAUUCCCAAGAGAUGGACCCCCUCUCUUCUCUCUUUGAGGCUGAGCCAGCCUUUCUGGAUGCCACAAUGGCUGUGGAAACUUCUGAGGCCGUGUCUCAGAAGAUUUUCUCUGAGCCUUGGAGGAGGUGACAGGGUUGUCCCAUUUAGGACUGAGCAUGGCACCAAGAUAACACGCUUGUGAUCACCAUGUUGUAAGAAAGCUCAGAGCCUCCUGGAGAGUCCAUGCAGUGUUCCAGUGAAGGUUCCAGCUGACAGCCAGCACCAACCACUAGCUAUCAGAUACUGGCCAUGUGAGGAGUCAAACAGUUCCAGCCUCGGACAUCAAGCCACUGCCCUAAGCAAGGAGAGCUGAGGAGAGUCGCGCAACCUUUAUGAGUGAUGCCCAAAUUGCCCAUCCAUGAUCAGAGGAAAUGCUGGUGCUAUUUUGGGUGCUCCACUUGGGGAUGAUUUGUUAUGCAGCAAUAAACAAAGAGAACAAAUGUC